This 467-nucleotide ribosomal RNA is filed under the name uncultured bacterium. Its description in RNAcentral is "partial 16S ribosomal RNA". It matches the Rfam family "Bacterial small subunit ribosomal RNA", at positions 28 to 506 of the family's 1533-position model. The record is from RNAcentral.
GACGAACGCUGGCGGCGUGCUUAAUACAUGCAAGUCGAACGGACAGGCUCUGCCUUUGCGUGGUACACGAGUGGCGAAGGGGUGCGUAACACGGGGGUAACCUGCGCUUGACUGUGGGAUAACUUGAGGAAACUGGGGGUAAUACUGGCUAGGAGCUCAUGCUGCUUGGUGGGGGUUGGUAAGUAUCGGAGGUUGGGGAUGGACUCGCGGCCUAUCGGACUGUGGGUGGGGUAGCGGGUAACCAAGGCUGCGACGGGUAGCCGGCCUGAGAGGGUGACCGGCCACGUUGGCAAUGGGAGGCGGCCGAAGCGCCUACGGGAGGAAGGAGGGGAGACUAAUGCACAAUGGGCGGAAGCGUGAUGCAGCAACGCCGCUUGCGGGAUGACGGCCUUCGGGUUGAAAACCGCUUUCGCCUGUAACGAAGCGCGGGUGAGGUUAAUGAGCAAAGAAGCACCGGCUAAUUACGU